AUGCAGCCGCACCAUGCCGCCAAAACAUCGACAUCAACGCGGAAGAUAGAACGCUGCACCACCUGGCAACCUCCACACCGUUGCCACUGCUGGAGAUACUCGGGGCCCACCAUCCACAUCGUCUCUCCCCCGAACAGCAGGUCCUCCCAAGACGGCGCCUCCAUGGAGGAUACGACACGUAGGAUGCCGCCGCCGCCCAAUCCAGAAUGA
Molecule: ribosomal RNA, 210 nt
Filed under: Triticum aestivum (bread wheat)
Lineage: Eukaryota; Viridiplantae; Streptophyta; Magnoliopsida; Poales; Poaceae
Description: partial small subunit ribosomal RNA
Source: RNAcentral